This 240-nucleotide ribosomal RNA is filed under the name uncultured Lactobacillus sp. RNAcentral's name for it is "partial 16S ribosomal RNA". It matches the Rfam family "Bacterial small subunit ribosomal RNA", at positions 122 to 356 of the family's 1533-position model. The record is from RNAcentral. Lineage: Bacteria; Bacillati; Bacillota; Bacilli; Lactobacillales; Lactobacillaceae.
UAACCUGCCCAAGAGAUCGGGAUAACACCUGGAAACAGAUGCUAAUACCGGAUAACAACAGAUGAUGCCUAUCAACNGUUUAAAAGAUGGUUCUGCUAUCACUCUUGGAUGGACCUGCGGUGCAUUAGCUAGUUGGUAGGGUAACGGCCUACCAAGGCGAUGAUGCAUAGCCGAGUUGAGAGACUGAUCGGCCACAUUGGGACUGAGACACGGCCCAAACUCCUACGGGAGGCAGCAGUG